GUAAGUUACAUCCUUCUUCUACUUGUCUUUUUCCCUAAACUUUAUAUUUUUUUAUCUUUCCGUUUAUAUAAUCUUGAGGGAAAAAUGGUACAAUGAUGCUAUGAAUACAAGAAACCCAUUAUAGAAAUGGUAUAGGGUUUCAAAAUUGAUGAUGAGGCAGAGUUUAAAAAAAAAAAAAAAACAUAAUCUUCCUUUACUUGACCUGAAUUGAAAUCGUAUUGCUUUCCCAUUUUUCCCAAAAUCCGUUCGUCUUUUUCAUUUGCCCCAAACCCACUCACGAAUUUCUUUCCGAUUUCUACAAAUCACUCUUUCGUUUGUUACGCUCACUGUCACCGUCUACCAGAGUCGACAAAGAGCAUACGACACGAGCAAGCCCUUCAAAACCGCAAUCACCUCCAUGCUUGACACCGCACCCACCUCCCUUCACUGCCACACUUUGCUAUAUCUUUGGGGAGAAUGUAAGUAGUUUUUUUCUAGUUUUGUACAUGGAUUUUGACAAUCUUUUUUUAACUUCUUCAAAAUUUCAUCUCUCCAAUGUUGAAUUUUUCAGUGGUCACCUCAAUAAUAUGGCCUGAAUAAUAUGAUUUUGUAUGGUUUUCAUUUAGAUAGAGAAACGAUUCAAUUGUUUACGAGCUUCUUUGAUAAGUAGCAUUGUUAGUAUUUAUUAGUUAAGUCAUCGAGCUCUUCUUUUACUGUCUUGGUUUUGAUUGGUUAAUGUCAACAAUCAAAUUCGAGUAAUGGUUUUUAACACGGAUGAUGAGUUUUAGGUGGUUGAUGUGGAAUUUUGUAAUUCAAAUGUAUUCAUGUUUGUUUAUUUGUUUGGGAUCGACUAGAAUGAGAUGAAGGAAUUCAGGAGUUUGUCAUGGUUGCAGAAGCAACACUCACUAGUUUGGACAAUACCAAACAAAAUGCCAAUUUCCUCCGUGUAAUCACGGAUAUCGAAAAUAUUUUGAUGUCGAAUGGAAUACUAUUAACAAAGGACAAUUGUUCUUCACCUGUAGCAAUGAUUGUGGAUAUUUUGACUUGGUGAAAGAAGGAGUUUUAAGUGGGGAGUCGAGUUCUGUUGAUGAAGCGGUGAAUCAUGCGUCCAACGUGGAAGAUUAAGAGUUGUCAAGACUCUUUGACAAUUUAACUCGAAUUAGUGAGUAACAAGAUGUGACAUAUCAAUGCACAUGGGUUUUCACAAGGGAAAAGGAAUUGCAAGGUGUGAUGGGAAAUGAAAGGGUUUGACUUGAAUGGCUUAUUUGUAUUUGUUAUAUGGAUUAUUGUAAUGUACGAACAGUUUAGUCAUUGUAGGCUAUAAGAUGUGCAAUUAAUCUUGUCAGAAUUGUUCAAUUAUUUAACAUGUGAUUGUUAUUAGGUUCAUUGUAAUAUAUGUAAUGGUUGGUAGAACCUUAUGAUAUACUUGUUCUCAUUUUUGUUUGCAAACAUCUCGGGUGAAUUCUUUAAUAAAAAAGGCUUCUAAUUAGAGUUUUGUC
RNAcentral lists this long non-coding RNA (1478 nucleotides) under Olea europaea subsp. europaea. Lineage: Eukaryota; Viridiplantae; Streptophyta; Magnoliopsida; Lamiales; Oleaceae. The record is from RNAcentral.